Molecule: ribosomal RNA, 426 nt
Filed under: uncultured bacterium
Lineage: Bacteria
Description: partial 16S ribosomal RNA
Rfam family: Bacterial small subunit ribosomal RNA
Source: RNAcentral
UGGGGAAUAUUGGACAAUGGGCGAAAGCCUGAUCCAGCAAUACCGCGUGUGUGAAGAAGGCCUUCGGGUUGUAAAGCACUUUAAGUUGGGAAGAAAAAACUUUACCUAAUACGUGAAGUCUUGACGGUACCGACAGAAUAAGCACCGGCUAACUCUGUGCCAGCAGCCGCGGUAAUACAGAGGGUGCUAGCGUUAAUCGGAUUUACUGGGCGUAAAGCGUGCGUAGGUGUUUUGAUAAGUCGGUUGUGAAAGCCCCGGGCUCAACCUGGGAAUUGCGGCCGAUACUGUCAGACUCGAAAACGGUAGAGGGAGGUGGAACUCCAGGUGUAGCGGUGAAAUGCGUAGAUAUCUGGAAGAACAUCGAUGGCGAAGGCAGCCUCCUGGGCCUGUUUUGACACUGAGGCACGAAAGCGUGGGUAGCAAACA